GGCAGAUGGUACCGAAUAAGUCACCGGAGCGCACAGGAGCAUACAGGUUUCUAGCUGGGGGACAAGGAACCUUGACAGCUGAGAAUAAAGGACCAGAACAGGUAGGCGUCUUCCAGAGCUCUGGCCUCAAAUCAGGCUCAACCUAACCCAGCCCUGCCUCCCCAGCUCCUCCAACCCUCCUGUCCCCAUGGGUGAAUGUCCUUCCCUCUCUGCUUAAGUCCAGAUCCUCCCAAGGCUAAGACCAGGACAGCAGACAUCCCAAAGGCUUUUUCAAGCCAGGGGACAUGACAAUUAGUAAAAGCAAUUGGCCUGGUGCAGACAAGGACUGCAUGAGACAUUUCAUGAAAAUGGAACCAUAAAACACGUGCCUGCUCCUGUCCAGCCAAGAAUCACCGUGACUGUGACUGCCCACCAUCCUGAUCCCUUCUGUGGAAAGGGGACUGUAUUGAGCAGGAGUUUGAGGUGGGGAAAUUAUCCCAGUUAUCCAGGUGGGCCCUGAGUGCAAUCAUAGGGUCCAGGGCGACGGAGUUGGAGGUAUGAUAGCAGACGCGGAGGCCAGUGUGGUGUGCUCUGAGGACAGAGAAGGUGGGGCCUCUACCUGGGAGAGGUGAGGGGUGGUUUCGCCCCUGGAGCCUCCAGAUCUCAGACUUCCAACCUCCAGAACUAAGACAAUGAAUCUGUGAUGGCACCCACAGAGGAGCCCGAGCCCACACGCUUUAGGAGAGUCAACUGGCCGUGACGAGGCUUCGUCUCCCACAGAACACUCCUCCUGUCUCUGUAGCCCUGAUCCUUCCACCUGGAGCCCCUUCUGACCACCUCCUGCUGCCUUCCUUCUGCGCUCAGUCUGCUUCUGUGGACACUCUCUGAAGGCCCCACCUGCGGAGCAGGCCUUGCACACCUGUCUACCAACUGCGGGGCGCGCCCUGAGGAUCGGAUGUCCCUCUGCACAGGCCUAGACUGAGGACUGCAGCAUCACAAUCAGAAAGGCCACGGGCUGCCUUUGGAGGCCUGGGGGGCGGGGGCAGAUGAAGGGCUGCUGCUUAGUGGGUCCUGAUGGUGGAUGGGUGAAGUCUUCCGGAGCCGGGUGGCUCAGCCUGGCUAGUUUUAGGUUGGAAUAUGGUGUCUGUUCUGGAUGACAACGUUCUUCUGUGUGAGCACAUGAGUGGAUCUACGUGCUGCCACAGACAGGCUUCUAGAGGACUCUCACACUAGUUUGGCUUCAUCACCCAAGUGAGGCGAAAUGUUGGAGCCAUCUAAGUUCAAAUUCUGUGUGCUUUGUGGGUCUUGGGAAUGAACCAUCAACCAGGGAGAAGCCCCUCAGCUCCCUCUUCGGGGGUGACACCCUUGGGGAAGGUAGAUGGGGUUGAGGAUAGGACCAGAGAUUCCAUCUGUCCCAGCCCCUCCACUGAGGCUGCCCUCCCAGCAGUGGACCUCCCCUGUGUGUAGAUGAGAUGCCUCACCAGGUUGCUGCGGGCAGGGGCGGGCGGGGAGGGCCUGGCUUAUUAGCCACUUACGAAACCCUCAAGUCACCCUGCUUGGUGACCCCUGAAGCCCAGCCCAGCCCCUCCCAUCAGAGCUGCAGUCCUGGAGCAGCCACAUCCUGCCUGGGGAGAGGACAAGGGAGGUGGUGACCUGCCCUCCUGCAAACAGGGUGUGACCUGGAAUGGUUGCCUGGUGGUCCCCAAUAAGUAUGUCCCCUGGAACCCAGGUACGUAAGUGUAUUGGAGAGGAUCUCUGCGGGCUUAAUGAAGGAUCCUGCAGUGAGAUCAUCCUGGGUUACAUGGAGCCCUAAAUCCAAAGGCAAGUGUCCUAAGGAAGAAGAGGAGGAGCCAUGGAGGACGCAAAGAAGAGGCCGACGCUGGAGUGAGGCAGCCAUUCCCAGGAGACUGCAGAGUCCUGCACCGGUGCCUCUGGAGGAGCAGAGCCCGCUCCCCCUGGACUUAGGGCUUGUGGCCUCCAGGACUUCGAGAAUAAAUGUCCACUCCUUUGAGGCACCCA
This is a long non-coding RNA of Marmota monax (woodchuck), 1998 nucleotides long. RefSeq lists it as uncharacterized. The transcript has 2 exons. The record is from RefSeq and is a predicted model, not a curated record. NCBI's taxonomy places the organism in Eukaryota, Metazoa, Chordata, Mammalia, Rodentia, Sciuridae.